UCAGAUGUGGUGUAAGGUACACACACUUGCUUUCAUUAUAUGCAUUAUACGAGAUCAAGAUCAGCGAGCGUCCGGGGUUCGAUUCCUCGCGUCUGAA
Molecule: non-coding RNA, 97 nt
Organism: Mycena albidolilacea
Lineage: Eukaryota; Fungi; Basidiomycota; Agaricomycetes; Agaricales; Mycenaceae
Source: the annotation of a GenBank genome assembly